AGGGGCAGUAAGCAACAGGAGGGAGAUAUCCAGCCACAGUCAUCUGCUAGUAGGAAAUCCUAUGGUUCUUGGACUAGUCAGAUUAGGAAGCUUUGCUUCCAGUUACCUAGGAGAUGGUAAUGUUUUGAGAGAACUUAGAAUUCAUAGGACCAUAAAGAACCAGGUCGCAUAACCCUACUGCAAUGAGAAUCCCAAGAAACAAGUGGGUCAGGUGGAGCAUGCAAGUGGCCUGGGGAAGGAGAGCCAGCUUGUAUGUGUAUGAGAAUGCACAGGAGUCCUGUAUAUGAAGCAGGGAAGCACAUGCUGGAAAACAGCAAUCAAGGGCAACAGGGAGCCUGGGAAUACUAGAGCAAAUUCGGUUUCAAGAUAAAGGGCCCCUGGGAUGCCCAAGGAGCAGCCACUGUUUGGCCAGGGUUUGGACCUCCAGCAGCAGAGCAGCGUGUGUGUCACAGUCACAUCGGAAGAUCUACAGCAGGAAGUGCUCCUUCUUUAUGCCCCAAACACCAAGUGCAUGCUCCAGUGAGAGAUUUACAGAUACGACUGCCCAUGAGGACGCUUCGUCAUUUUGUCUGUCGUAUGCUUUGUAGUCUGUGGGAUGUUCACAAUUAAGGACUGCAAAAGUGGGGACUUCAGUGCAAAAGUGUGAGCCUCGGCCAAGGCACUUCAGCAUUCCCAGCACAAGUCUCGCACUGAGAAUUCCAUCAGAUUUAUUUUCCUGGAAAGGUGUGUCAGACCGGUUCACCCUGGGCAGUUGCACACCCAGGAUACCUGUCUCACUGUAACUAGGAGACUCAUAGUCCAGAGUGGAGUGUCCCAGCCAACACUGGCUGUGGCUUUCAGCCUGCUCUCUCCUAGCAAAGCUGCUUAGUCCUUCAAAUACAAGGAGCUGGUUUUCAGCCAGCCAGCAGCAGGGGGUGGCAGGGACAGAACUAAACAGGGCAUUCUGCCCAGUGCUAGCCAGAGUCCCAUCUGCCCCAAGCAAUAACUUGUUCGACAUGGCAGCUUUGAUAGGAGCUCCUCUCUGUCUAACCCCUCUGCUGCCUACUCUCUUCUUUUUGGUUAUCAGUCACCUGAGAAACUACUUGAAUCCUGAUCUCUGAUGUUGUUUUCAGUGACUCCUGAACAAAAUGGACAGGGUCCUUAUAAUGUAUUCAACUCUGAGCUGCACCCCAGGAGGCGCUGAGGAACUGCUAUUUGACUGCAUUCCCCCUCCCAGGAAGUGUGGAUUUCUUUUUCUUUAUGAGGAGAAAAGAAGAAAAUGGCUCCAAGGCCUGGAGUCACUAAAAUAUUAACAAUCCAUAGAAUGUUGACUAGGUGCCAGGACUGGGCUAAGCUGGUUUGCAUGAUGUUAUGGUUUGAGUAGAUCCCCAAGAAACACAUUGGAAACUUAAUCCCAAUGUAACAGUGUUAGGAGGUGUUUAUAUUAAGACAGCUUCACUUCCUCUCUGCCUCUCCUUUCCCUCUCUCUUCUUUCCUCUCUAUCCUCUCUUGUUCUUUUCUCUUCAGUCAUGGAAGAUGCAGCAAAAGGCCCUUGCCAUAUGCCAGCCCCUUGAUCUUGGAUUUCUCAGUUGCUAGAAUUGUGAGGGUAUCCAUUUCUUUUCUUUAUAGCUGCCCUGAUCUGUGGUAUUCUGUUAUAGCGGUGCAAAGCUGACUGACACACAGAUUAUCUCAUUAAUUCCUUGGCAGCUUUGUGGGAAGACUGAUAUAAGUAGUGCCUCCCUGUGGAAGGAAGCAACCGACUUUUGAAUGUUAUACUACUAUAUGGUAGGGUUCACAUUUGAGUCAUAGGUGACCUGUACCCAACCGCACAGCUCUAGAGUAGGUGAGACCUAAUGCUUCAGCAUUAGGAAACUAUGCUGAUAUGAGAACCCAUUAGCACACUAGCUAUGGAAGCCCCAAAUUACUCAUACACACAGUACUCUUAAGACAUCUCUCCAUUCCGUGCAUCUGAAAGUGGCUUCCCCUCAACUAAGAGGAUGGGUUUAUAUUCAUUGCCACGAAAUCUCAUCUUUUAAGACAUAGCUCAUUUCAGGAUGACUGGCUUUUGUGACCCUAUUUCAGCCCUCAUAUAAUUAAGUCAGAGUUAGUUAGCUGUGAUUUCAGUAAAAUCCAUUUACUAUAUAUCGAAGUUACCUAGCACAUGGUGUUUAGUGAGGGUGUUCAGUUCUGGCAGGGGUUCAGGGACUGAAGUGAUAUGCAUGCCUUCUCAGUCUAAUUUUCCUUGUUAUCUGAUCUUCCAUUUUUUCUUUUCCCCUGUCUGCUAAGCUUAAGGGAAUUCCUGAGGAGCCAGCAAAUGCCAAGCUGAAGGUACAAGGCUCUCAGGCUUCUGAGUCACUGUGUGGAUAGAUGCUUGCUGAAUACUGUGUAGCUAUGGAACUUUGCAAGAGUGUUAAGUAGACUCCUCUGUUAGUAAAGUACUAAGAUCUAUCAAACCACUUAUGAUUACCAUGAAUCAACAAGGCACUUUUUGUUUGUCCUUCCUUCUAGGUUUAUGGUGUCUAUAAGGUGGGGUUUUUUUUGUUUUUUGUUUUUUUAUGGUUUCAAAGACUUGAUGCUAAUCAUUUAGGCGAUGCUGGGAACCAUAGUGAACCGAAAGAUGUGGCAGAGGUAGCAUGAGCAAAUGGCAGAUGUGGGCUGCCGCUUACAACAGUGUGAGCUCCUGCAAAGGUCUUCCGGCAAAUGUUUUCCUGUCCGUUUGUCUACCUGGUAAUUGCCAUAAGCAAUUAACUGAUCCUAAUAGGACCUAACCAAAAAUAAAUAAAUAAACUCACUUUGAGUCAGAGAGUUCUGAGGACUUGCUCAAAGCUCCACAGUGGGCUGACAGCAGAGCUGAGUGACAUCUUUGGGUUUUGUGGAUGGCACAAGGUCACUUGAAGAACAUUCCCCCUUCUGACAAUGCUCAAAUGGUUCAUCCAAGUCACCUGAAUCCUUCAAGUAUGAGCAGUGACUUUCCUUUCAGAGUGAUUUCCUAUAACUCUAGCAGCUAUGAAAACAAAGGCCUGUCUCCUGGCAAUGGCUUCAGCCCACAACCAAACCCAAGACCUGCCUAAAUGCCACCAAUGGACAGAGAAUUAACAUAUUUCCUUAUUGCUAGGAAACAGAAGUUCAGUAAUUAUAUUACACCUAAUAAGAGACUUGGGUUUCCAGACUUUUAUAUUUUUAUCUGUAAAUAUUAGCUUUCCUGUUGAGGCAGCUUGCUUUCAACCUCUUGUACUUUCAACAUUUAAUUAAAAGUCUCCCAGAACUCAUUAUAUUCUGCCCUCCAAAAGCUGGCUAAGCAAAAUCAUUCUUUGCUAUUGUAGCUCUUUCCUCUUAGAUGUUCUUUCGUGUAACUCACUGAAGCCACGCUCUGAAACCCAGAGUCUGGGCAGGUUUAUCAGUGUUCUGGUGCUAGCAUAUGCCAGAGAUAAGCGCUGAACACCCGCAAUGCUCCUCUGGACAAAGGGGACAAAGAUAACAGUUCAGUCCCUCUUAGCACCUUGCAAGGAUGGGAUGAGAUCCCACGACCUGGCACAUAGCACACAGUCAGUAGGGGUGACGCUUUCCUGUUUUCUUUUCUAUAUCUACCACAGAAGUACAACUCCAGGAAAGGAACUUUUUGCAGGCGGUUUCAGCCAGUAUUGCUGAGAGACUUAUCACUUAUCAUUCCCUUUUCUUUACUAUUUCAGUACCCAGCUGCCCAACUUCUGC
Molecule: non-coding RNA, 3690 nt
Organism: Rattus norvegicus (Norway rat)
Lineage: Eukaryota; Metazoa; Chordata; Mammalia; Rodentia; Muridae
Source: RefSeq, a predicted model, not a curated record